UUAAGCGACUAAGCGUACACGGUGGAUGCCCUGGCAGUCAGAGGCGAUGAAGGACGUGCUAAUCUGCGAAAAGCGUCGGUAAGGUGAUAUGAACCGUUAUAACCGGCGAUGUCCGAAUGGGGAAACCCAGUGCAAUUCGUUGCACUAUCGUUAACUGAAUACAUAGGUUAACGAGGCGAACCGGGGGAACUGAAACAUCUAAGUACCCCGAGGAAAAGAAAUCAACCGAGAUUCCCCCAGUAGCGGCGAGCGAACGGGGAGCAGCCCAGAGUCUGAAUCAGCUUGUGUGUUAGUGGAACGGUCUGGAAAGUCCGACGGUACAGGGUGAUAGUCCCGUACACCAAAAUGCACAGGCUGUGAACUCGAAGAGUAGGGCGGGACACGUGGUAUCCUGUCUGAAUAUGGGGGGACCAUCCUCCAAGGCUAAAUACUCCUGACUGACCGAUAGUGAACCAGUACCGUGAGGGAAAGGCGAAAAGAACCCCGGCGAGGGGAGUGAAAAAGAACCUGAAACCGUGUACGUACAAGCAGUGGGAGCACCUUCGGGUGUGACUGCGUACCUUUUGUAUAAUGGGUCAGCGACUUAUAUUCUGUAGCAAGGUUAACCGUAUAGGGGAGCCGCAGGGAAACCGAGUCUUAACUGGGCGUUAAGUUGCAGGGUAUAGACCCGAAACCCGGUGAUCUAGCCAUGGGCAGGUUGAAGGUUGGGUAACACUAACUGGAGGACCGAACCGACUAAUGUUGAAAAAUUAGCGGAUGACUUGUGGCUGGGGGUGAAAGGCCAAUCAAACCGGGAGAUAGCUGGUUCUCCCCGAAAGCUAUUUAGGUAGCGCCUCGUGAACUCAUCUUCGGGGGUAGAGCACUGUUUCGGCUAGGGGGUCAUCCCGACUUACCAACCCGAUGCAAACUACGAAUACCGAAGAAUGUUAUCACGGGAGACACACGGCGGGUGCUAACGUCCGUCGUGAAGAGGGAAACAACCCAGACCGCCAGCUAAGGUCCCAAAGUCAUGGUUAAGUGGGAAACGAUGUGGGAAGGCACAGACAGCCAGGAUGUUGGCUUAGAAGCAGCCAUCAUUUAAAGAAAGCGUAAUAGCUCACUGGUCGAGUCGGCCUGCGCGGAAGAUGUAACGGGGCUAAACCAUGCACCGAAGCUGCGGCAGCGACACUAUGUGUUGUUGGGUAGGGGAGCGUUCUGUAAGCCUGCGAAGGUGUGCUGUGAGGCAUGCUGGAGGUAUCAGAAGUGCGAAUGCUGACAUAAGUAACGAUAAAGCGGGUGAAAAGCCCGCUCGCCGGAAGACCAAGGGUUCCUGUCCAACGUUAAUCGGGGCAGGGUGAGUCGACCCCUAAGGCGAGGCCGAAAGGCGUAGUCGAUGGGAAACAGGUUAAUAUUCCUGUACUUGGUGUUACUGCGAAGGGGGGACGGAGAAGGCUAUGUUAGCCGGGCGACGGUUGUCCCGGUUUAAGCAUGUAGGCUGAUUGUCCAGGCAAAUCCGGAUAAUCAAGGCUGAGGUGUGAUGACGAGGCACUACGGUGCUGAAGUAACAAAUGCCCUGCUUCCAGGAAAAGCCUCUAAGCAUCAGGUAACAUUAAAUCGUACCCCAAACCGACACAGGUGGUCAGGUAGAGAAUACCAAGGCGCUUGAGAGAACUCGGGUGAAGGAACUAGGCAAAAUGGUGCCGUAACUUCGGGAGAAGGCACGCUGGUGUGUAGGUGAAGUCCCUGCGGAUGGAGCUGAGACCAGUCGAAGAUACCAGCUGGCUGCAACUGUUUAUUAAAAACACAGCACUGUGCAAACACGAAAGUGGACGUAUACGGUGUGACGCCUGCCCGGUGCCGGAAGGUUAAUUGAUGGGGUUAUCCGUAAGGAGAAGCUCUUGAUCGAAGCCCGGUAAACGGCGGCCGUAACUAUAACGGUCCUAAGGUAGCGAAAUUCCUUGUCGGGUAAGUUCCGACCUGCACGAAUGGCGUAAUGAUGGCCAGGCUGUCUCCACCCGAGACUCAGUGAAAUUGAACUCGCUGUGAAGAUGCAGUGUACCCGCGGCAAGACGGAAAGACCCCGUGAACCUUUACUAUAGCUUGACACUGAACAUUGAGCCUUGAUGUGUAGGAUAGGUGGGAGGCUUUGAAGCGUGGACGCCAGUCUGCGUGGAGCCAACCUUGAAAUACCACCCUUUAAUGUUUGAUGUUCUAACGUUGGCCCCUGACCGGGGUUGCGGACAGUGUCUGGUGGGUAGUUUGACUGGGGCGGUCUCCUCCCAAAGCGUAACGGAGGAGCACGAAGGUUAGCUAAUCCGGUCGGACAUCAGGAGGUUAGUGCAAUGGCAUAAGCUAGCUUGACUGCGAGCGUGACGGCGCGAGCAGGUGCGAAAGCAGGUCAUAGUGAUCCGGUGGUUCUGAAUGGAAGGGCCAUCGCUCAACGGAUAAAAGGUACUCCGGGGAUAACAGGCUGAUACCGCCCAAGAGUUCAUAUCGACGGCGGUGUUUGGCACCUCGAUGUCGGCUCAUCACAUCCUGGGGCUGAAGUAGGUCCCAAGGGUAUGGCUGUUCGCCAUUUAAAGUGGUACGCGAGCUGGGUUUAGAACGUCGUGAGACAGUUCGGUCCCUAUCUGCCGUGGGCGCUGGAGAAUUGAGGGGGGCUGCUCCUAGUACGAGAGGACCGGAGUGGACGCAUCACUGGUGUUCGGGUUGUCAUGCCAAUGGCACUGCCCGGUAGCUAAAUGCGGAAGAGAUAAGUGCUGAAAGCAUCUAAGCACGAAACUUGCCCCGAGAUGAGUUCUCCCUGAGACUUUAAGUCUCCUGAAGGAACGUUAAAGACGAUGACGUUGAUAGGCCGGGUGUGUAAGCGCAGCGAUGCGUUGAGCUAACCGGUACUAAUGAACCGUGAGGCUUAACCU
This 2897-nucleotide ribosomal RNA is filed under the name Klebsiella pneumoniae. Its description in RNAcentral is "bacterial LSU rRNA". It matches the Rfam family "Bacterial large subunit ribosomal RNA". Lineage: Bacteria; Pseudomonadati; Pseudomonadota; Gammaproteobacteria; Enterobacterales; Enterobacteriaceae. The record is from RNAcentral.